GCUCGCUUAGCUCAGUUGGUCAGAGCGUGGUGCUAAUAACGCCAAGGUCACAGGUGCGAUCCCUGUAGAGCA
This 72-nucleotide transfer RNA is filed under the name Blyttiomyces helicus. It matches the Rfam family "tRNA". From Rfam's summary of the family: Transfer RNA (tRNA) molecules are approximately 80 nucleotides in length. Their secondary structure includes four short double-helical elements and three loops (D, anti-codon, and T loops). The record is from Rfam by way of RNAcentral. Lineage: Eukaryota; Fungi; Chytridiomycota; Chytridiomycetes.